This 460-nucleotide ribosomal RNA is filed under the name uncultured bacterium. Its description in RNAcentral is "partial 16S ribosomal RNA". It matches the Rfam family "Bacterial small subunit ribosomal RNA", at positions 338 to 795 of the family's 1533-position model. The record is from RNAcentral.
CCUACGGGAGGCUGCAGUGAGGAAUAUUGGUCAAUGGACGAGAGUCUGAACCAGCCAAGUAGCGUGAAGGAUGACUGCCCUAUGGGUUGUAAACUUCUUUUACAUGGGAAUAAAACGUUCCACGUGUGGGAUUUUGUAUGUACCAUAUGAAUAAGGAUCGGCUAACUCCGUGCCAGCAGCCGCGGUAAUACGGAGGAUCCGAGCGUUAUCCGGAUUUAUUGGGUUUAAAGGGAGCGUAGGUGGAUUGUUAAGUCAGUUGUGAAAGUUUGCGGCUCAACCGUAAAAUUGCAGUUGAAACUGGCAGUCUUGAGUACAGUAGAGGUGGGCGGAAUUCGUGGUGUAGCGGUGAAAUGCUUAGAUAUCACGAAGAACUCCGAUUGCGAAGGCAGUUCACUGGACUGCAACUGACACUGAGGCUCGAAAGUGUGGGUAUCAAACAGGAUUAGAUACCCGUGUAGUC